RNAcentral lists this transfer RNA (72 nucleotides) under Heterocephalus glaber (naked mole-rat). It matches the Rfam family "tRNA". Rfam says of the family: Transfer RNA (tRNA) molecules are approximately 80 nucleotides in length. Their secondary structure includes four short double-helical elements and three loops (D, anti-codon, and T loops). Lineage: Eukaryota; Metazoa; Chordata; Mammalia; Rodentia; Bathyergidae. The record is from Rfam by way of RNAcentral.
GGGGAUUUAGCUCAGUGGCACAGCACCUGCCUGGCAAGCAUGAGGUCCUGAGUUUGAUCCCCAGUAGACCCU